RNAcentral lists this unclassified non-coding RNA (272 nucleotides) under plant metagenome. RNAcentral's name for it is "partial contains small subunit ribosomal RNA, internal transcribed spacer 1, and 5.8S ribosomal RNA". The record is from RNAcentral.
GUUCCGUAGGUGAACCUGCGGAAGGAUCAUUAAUGAGUUGUCAUGGGGUUCGAUGCUGGCAGCCAGUUUUUGGAUGCAUGUGCUUGCCCUAACAAUCAUCUUCUUCCAAACACCUGUGCACAUUUUUGAGGGAGUCUUGAGUUGGUUGCCGCUCUUGGGUGAUUUUCUCACAUUCCCUUAAAUCAUUAUACGCUAUUAACAAUGUUGAACGUGCUCUGUGCCGCAAGGCCAUUAAUAUAAUACAACUUUUAACAACGGAUCUCUUGGCUCUC